CUGACAGCCAGAAGAGUGGGGCACAGCGAGCAGUGGUAGCGGCCUCAGGCUGCGAAGAGUUUGUUUGUUUAUUUGUCUAUCUAUUUAUUUAUUUAUUUUUCAUUUUUUGUUAUUUUUACGUUUUUACAUUUCACGCUCUCUUUUUAAAAUUUACCACUGCCAAAGAAAGGAGAACAUCACCUUCAUGUUGAAAAGAACCAUCUUACUCUCCACAGUUAAGCCAAGGAAAGGUACAGGGAAAGACAGAAAGAAGGAUAUCCACAGUUCCCCUGCCUAUACUAUCC
Molecule: long non-coding RNA, 284 nt
Filed under: Cricetulus griseus (Chinese hamster)
Lineage: Eukaryota; Metazoa; Chordata; Mammalia; Rodentia; Cricetidae
Description: lncRNA (ENSCGRG00000026489.1)
Source: RNAcentral